UGGGGAAUAUUGCACAAUGGGCGGAAGCCUGAUGCAGCGACGCCGCGUGAGGGAUGACGGCCUUCGGGUUGUAAACCUCUUUCAGCAGGGACGAAGCGAGAGUGACGGUACCUGCAGAAGAAGCGCCGGCCAACUACGUGCCAGCAGCCGCGGUAAGACGUAGGGCGCGAGCGUUGUCCGGAUUUAUUGGGCGUAAAGAGCUCGUAGGCGGCUUGUUGCGUCGUCCGUGAAAACCUGGGGCUCAACUCCAGGCUUGCGGUCGAUACGGGCAGGCUAGAGUUCGGUAGGGGAGACUGGAAUUCCUGGUGUAGCGGUGAAAUGCGCAGAUAUCAGGAGGAACACCGGUGGCGAAGGCGGGUCGUCUGGGCCGAGUACUGACGCUGAGGAGCGAAAGCGUGGGGAGCGAACAGGAUUAGAUACCCUGGUAGUCCACGCUGUAAACGUUGGGCGCUAGGUGUGGGGGCCGUCGUCCGGUUUCCUCGCGCCGUAGCUAACGCA
RNAcentral lists this ribosomal RNA (498 nucleotides) under uncultured Actinomycetes bacterium. RNAcentral's name for it is "bacterial SSU rRNA". It matches the Rfam family "Bacterial small subunit ribosomal RNA", at positions 355 to 859 of the family's 1533-position model. Lineage: Bacteria; Bacillati; Actinomycetota; Actinomycetes. The record is from RNAcentral.